Brassica oleracea var. oleracea is the source of this 426-nucleotide long non-coding RNA. RefSeq lists it as uncharacterized. The transcript is spliced from 3 exons. The record is from RefSeq and is a predicted model, not a curated record. Lineage: Eukaryota; Viridiplantae; Streptophyta; Magnoliopsida; Brassicales; Brassicaceae.
CAGAGACUGCUGCUGCUAGAGGAGAGUGUGCACGAGUUAGGAAAUGAUUUAGCACGAGUUAAGCUAAUGGUGUGCGUACUAGUGGUGAUAGCUUUGCUAUUCUUCGUUCUACGUGGAGUUCUUUCAAAGGCUUCAAACGGGACUAUUCUAUCACCUCACGAGUGGCCAAAUAAGUCAGGUUAGGUGAAGUAGUCACGGGCGUCUAAGUGUUUUGGUCUUUAGCAAGAUGAAGUAGUCACGGAUACAUUUGGAGUAGUGAGAGCAUUUUGGAUUGUAGCUCCAGCUCACAAGUGACGGGGUAGUUGUUUUCCACUUUUAGGUACUAUAAGUACUCGGCCAUGUAAUAGCUCUCUAUGUUUCUCAUUGUACUAAACAUCAGAAAGCUUUGUAAUAUUUGUGAACCAAGAUCUCCUUCUACUCUUGUAA